RNAcentral lists this long non-coding RNA (462 nucleotides) under Vigna radiata. Its description in RNAcentral is "long non-coding RNA (VRAD_LNC001936)". The record is from RNAcentral. Lineage: Eukaryota; Viridiplantae; Streptophyta; Magnoliopsida; Fabales; Fabaceae.
AAAGAAAAUAAAAUAAAAUGAUAAUUUUUUCUAUAAAUUAAUUAAAAUUAGUUUAUCCCCAAUUUAAAAAUAAUAGAGAAAGUAUAUGAAAGAGUUGUAUAAUUUGUCUAAAAAAAAUUUAUUUUUAUUUUUCUAUUUUAGAAAAAAAAAAACUCUUUAAAUAUAACCUAAAUUUGAUUCUUCCACUCUUUAUACUGUGUUUUAUAUAAUGAUCAAUCAUAAUAAAUGCAUUAGUUCUUUUGUCAUGCCCUACUAAAUUCUCAUUUACAGUACUUCAGUUCUUCACCAAGUAACUAUUUUCAUCCUUUAUAAUAAGCGUUAUAAUUAAUUACAUUUUUUUAAUAUUUCUGCAUUGAUUCAAAACUUGCACAAAUGUCUGCUUUUACUUUAUUUUUCUUUUCUUUCAAUUUUUCAUUUUUUUAUGUAUUAAUACAUAUAUUAAAGUAGUAAAAUCCCACUUCU